Molecule: ribosomal RNA, 527 nt
Filed under: Vibrio sp. OT158
Lineage: Bacteria; Pseudomonadati; Pseudomonadota; Gammaproteobacteria; Vibrionales; Vibrionaceae
Description: bacterial SSU rRNA
Rfam family: Bacterial small subunit ribosomal RNA
Source: RNAcentral
CAGGCCUAACACAUGCAAGUCGAGCGGAAACGACAACAUUGACCCUUCGGGUGAUUUGUUGGGCGUCGAGCGGCGGACGGGUGAGUAAUGCCUGGGAAAUUGCCCUGAUGUGGGGGAUAACCAUUGGAAACGAUGGCUAAUACCGCAUAAUGUCUACGGACCAAAGAGGGGGACCUUCGGGCCUCUCGCUUCAGGAUAUGCCCAGGUGGGAUUAGCUAGUUGGUGAGGUAAUGGCUCACCAAGGCGACGAUCCCUAGCUGGUCUGAGAGGAUGAUCAGCCACACUGGAACUGAGACACGGUCCAGACUCCUACGGGAGGCAGCAGUGGGGAAUAUUGCACAAUGGGCGCAAGCCUGAUGCAGCCAUGCCGCGUGUAUGAAGAAGGCCUUCGGGUUGUAAAGUACUUUCAGUCGUGAGGAAGGCGUUGAAGUUAAUAGCUUCAUCGUUUGACGUUAGCGACAGAAGAAGCACCGGCUAACUCCGUGCCAGCAGCCGCGGUAAUACGGAGGGUGCGAGCGUUAAUCGGA